UACGUAGGGUGCGAGCGUUAAUCGGAAUUACUGGGCGUAAAGCGUGCGCAGGCGGUUAUUUAAGUCAGGUGUGAAAGCCCUGGGCUUAACCUAUGAAUUGCGCUUGAGACUGGAUAGCUUGGAGUGCGGCAGAGGGAGGUGGAAUUCCACGUGUAGCAGUGAAAUGCGUAGAGAUGUGGAGGAACACCGAUGGCGAAGGCAGCCUCCUGGGCCAGCACUGACGCUCAUGCACGAAAGCGUGGGGAGCAAACAGG
This 254-nucleotide ribosomal RNA is filed under the name uncultured bacterium. RNAcentral describes it as "partial 16S ribosomal RNA". It matches the Rfam family "Bacterial small subunit ribosomal RNA", at positions 524 to 776 of the family's 1533-position model. The record is from RNAcentral.